RNAcentral lists this unclassified non-coding RNA (582 nucleotides) under Hevea brasiliensis (rubber tree). The record is from RNAcentral. Lineage: Eukaryota; Viridiplantae; Streptophyta; Magnoliopsida; Malpighiales; Euphorbiaceae.
CAGUUAUUGUUGUAUCUGUUCAUCAUCUAGUAAAUUAUAUUACAUUGUUAGAGGAUAUCUGAAGAUGUUUAGAAGAUAUACAUCUAAAAGCGNNNNNNNNUGGUGUCACAAUAGCUGCUGGCCACUGUUAUGCAUGCAUUGUCAUUGGUGCAACUAGCGGCAAUGAUGCUGCUGCUGCAUCUCCAUGAGAACCUCCNNNNNNUUGAGAUAUUAUUUCUGCUAACAAAUUUGCAUUUUGAAUCUGAAUGUUUACUGGUUUCCAAAUCCUUAAGUUAAUUGCUAAUUGUCCGUGUGAUUUCAAGAAACUAGAUGGCUAAUACAACAUGAGUUAAUAGUGCCUUCACAACAGUCCUUGGAACUGUUGCUUGUCAAUCAUUUGUUUUUGUGCAACUCCAGCCAUAAAGUCAAACAGAUGUGAGAAUCUCUCCUGUUAAAUGAGAGAUGGGACGAGCUUGUUAUUGUAACAAUUUUAUUGUAUACACUUAUACAUGACUUCAUCCAUGUUUCCAUGCAUCAAACUUAUUAGAUGUUAUCUCUAAACAUCUUGUCAGGAUUUUUCUGUUCUUGCCCCCUAACCCCCAC